UACGGAGGGUGCAAGCGUUAUCCGGAUUCACUGGGUUUAAAGGGUGCGUAGGUGGGUUGGUAAGUCAGUGGUGAAAUCCCCGAGCUUAACCUGGGAACUGCAUUUGUGACUGCAUGGCUGGAGUGCGGCAGAGGGGGAUGGAAUUCCGCGUGUAGCAGUGAAAUGCGUAGAUAUGCGGAGGAACACCGAUGGCGAAGGCAAUCCCCUGGGCCUGCACUGACGCUCAUGCACGAAAGCGUGGGGAGCAAACAGG
This 253-nucleotide ribosomal RNA is filed under the name uncultured bacterium. Its description in RNAcentral is "partial 16S ribosomal RNA". It matches the Rfam family "Bacterial small subunit ribosomal RNA", at positions 524 to 776 of the family's 1533-position model. The record is from RNAcentral.